Equus quagga is the source of this 511-nucleotide long non-coding RNA. RefSeq lists it as uncharacterized. NCBI's taxonomy places the organism in Eukaryota, Metazoa, Chordata, Mammalia, Perissodactyla, Equidae. The record is from RefSeq and is a predicted model, not a curated record. The transcript is spliced from 3 exons.
CAGACUGCCCAGCCAAGUACCGAGGCCUUGGCCAUCCCUAUAAGUCAGCAGCCUUGAACUGUAAACCUUCCACACCCUCUUCAAGUGACUUAGAGCAGCACCAACUGUCACCAUGAAAGCUCUAGUCUCUUCCCUCCUUCUAUUGCCGCCACUAACGCUGACAUAGGUGGUCGCCAGCAGCCCAAAUCCAGUGGUUGCCAGAGGCCCCAGGGACCAAUGCCAGGCUUCUGGGAGGCAGGAUCCUGGCAGGCUGCCAAGAAUGUGAGUGCAAAGAUUGGUUCCUGAGAGCCCCUAAGAGAAAACUCAUGACAAUACCUGGGCUGCCACAGAAGCAGUGUCCCCGUGAUAAUUUCAAAGUCAAUGUGAAGAAAACCAGUAAGUUUCAAAAGAAAGACCUUUCUUAAAGCAAAGUCCCUCUGUGAAAUCAACCAAGGAUAAAGCAGGGGUUAAGAAUAGACAAGAGAGGUGAAAUGAAGACCAGGAUAAGCACAUAUCUCAGCCCCUCCUACUC